AAAGCAGAAACAUUACCUUAAUGUCUUUAGUCAUUUAGCUAUUUAGACAAAUAUGUCCCCCAAGAAACAUUACCUUAAUGUCUUUAGUCAUUUAGCUAUUUAGACAAAUAUGUCCCCCAUGCAUGCACCAUACCUAUUUCUUUUGAUUAAACAAAUCAAAAGCCCUCACCUCUUAUCCUCUUAGGCACUCUCGGCAUGAAGAUGAAAAAAAGAAAGACGAUAGUUUAAAUUUUAUAAACUCUAGGUUUAUAAAAUACUAUAAACUUUAUCUAUAGGUAAAUAUUUUCCAUGAAAUAAAUAUUUUCCUAAAUUAUUAUAAGAGUUUAUGAAUAUUUAUUAAAAUC
RNAcentral lists this long non-coding RNA (344 nucleotides) under Lactuca sativa (garden lettuce). Its description in RNAcentral is "long non-coding RNA (LSAT_LNC003262)". Lineage: Eukaryota; Viridiplantae; Streptophyta; Magnoliopsida; Asterales; Asteraceae. The record is from RNAcentral.